Non-coding RNA from Misgurnus anguillicaudatus (oriental weatherfish), 573 nucleotides. The record is from RefSeq and is a predicted model, not a curated record. Lineage: Eukaryota; Metazoa; Chordata; Actinopteri; Cypriniformes; Cobitidae.
CUCGCGUUCUCGAGCACACAAGCAUUGAUUAGUGAAGAUCUCUCGCGUGCUCGCUGUCAAUCUCGAGCCCUCGCGGUGUGAAAAUCUAACGGCCUUCCUGAAGUCAUGGAGAGACAGACGGCUCGUGAGAUGAAAUUGGCUAAAGACUCAUUCAGUCAAUCUGUAUGUGCCAGAUGAAUUCAUAUGUCAUGCUUGAGAAAGUUUUUGACUCCAAAUGGAAGCUGGCAAAACAGUCAAAGGUCACGCUGCAGUGAAAGACAGCCAUCAGACGACACCUCGAGUACUCAGUCAGGACAACACAAUUUACUUCAGGUCAGACACAAAGAUCCUCUUCAUCUGAAGACAGGAGAGACACGAGUCUUUCAAGUCUACAUCCAUAUAUAUUACACAGUGACACAGAAGGAAAGGUGCAAAGCAAAUACAGUAAAGCAGCAUUUCUAUGAGUCACACAAAUGCUGCUGAUGAUGAAGAUGAUAUCUCAUCAAUGAUAUGAAUGCUGAUCCGAGACUCCAGGAAGAGAAAAUGAUCAGCUUUUUAAAGCAUCUGGUAUUUAAUAAACAUAAGUUCACUUCU